RNAcentral lists this transfer RNA (76 nucleotides) under Opitutales bacterium. RNAcentral's name for it is "tRNA-Thr". It matches the Rfam family "tRNA". Rfam says of the family: Transfer RNA (tRNA) molecules are approximately 80 nucleotides in length. Their secondary structure includes four short double-helical elements and three loops (D, anti-codon, and T loops). Lineage: Bacteria; Pseudomonadati; Verrucomicrobiota; Opitutia; Opitutales. The record is from RNAcentral.
GCCGAAGUAGCUCAGCUGGUAGAGCAACGCAUUCGUAAUGCGUGGGUCGUGGGUUCGAAUCCCAUCUUCGGCUCCA